Paramuricea clavata is the source of this 71-nucleotide non-coding RNA. The record is from the annotation of a GenBank genome assembly. Lineage: Eukaryota; Metazoa; Cnidaria; Anthozoa; Malacalcyonacea; Plexauridae.
GACCGCGUAGCUCAGUUGGCAGAGCAUUGGGCUAGUAUUCCAAAGGUCGUAGGUUCGAUUCCCACCGUGGC